Molecule: ribosomal RNA, 274 nt
Filed under: uncultured bacterium
Lineage: Bacteria
Description: partial 16S ribosomal RNA
Rfam family: Bacterial small subunit ribosomal RNA
Source: RNAcentral
AUACGGAGGGAGCGAGCGUUAAUCGGAAUUACUGGGCGUAAAGCGCUCGUAGGCGGCUUGUUAAGUCGGAUGUGAAAUCCCCGGGCUCAACCUGGGAACUGCAUUCGAUACUGGCAGGCUAGAGUAUAGUAGAGGCAAGUGGAAUUCCGGGUGUAGCGGUGAAAUGCGUAGAUAUCCGGAGGAACAUCAGUGGCGAAGGCGACUUGCUGGACUAAUACUGACGCUGAGGAGCGAAAGCGUGGGGAGCAAACGGGAUUAGAAACCCCAGUAGUCC